Molecule: ribosomal RNA, 300 nt
Filed under: uncultured Synechococcus sp.
Lineage: Bacteria; Bacillati; Cyanobacteriota; Cyanophyceae; Synechococcales; Synechococcaceae
Description: bacterial SSU rRNA
Rfam family: Bacterial small subunit ribosomal RNA
Source: RNAcentral
GCGUGGGAAUCUGCCCUCAGGAGGGGGAUAACGGCCGGAAACGGCCGCUAAUACCCCAUAUGCCGAGAGGUGAAAUGAAUUUCGCCUGAGGAUGAGCCCGCGUCUGAUUAGCUAGUUGGUGAGGUAAGAGCUCACCAAGGCAUCGAUCAGUAGCUGGUCUGAGAGGAUGAUCAGCCACACUGGGACUGAGACACGGCCCAGACUCCUACGGGAGGCAGCAGUGAGGAAUAUUGCACAAUGGGCGAAAGCCUGAUGCAGCGACGCCGCGUGGGUGAAGAAGGCUUUCGGAUCGUAAAACCC